RNAcentral lists this non-coding RNA (54 nucleotides) under Stygamoeba regulata. Lineage: Eukaryota; Discosea; Stygamoebida. The record is from RNAcentral.
AGAGUGAUAUUGCUAUCAUGUUGAAUACUCUACGAUGUUCUAUUGUACCUGAGG